GGCCGCGGCGGGAACGUGUGUGUGGGGGUCGUCUCUCCGAGCCAUCCAGUUCCAUCCUUGUCGCUGCGGCGACACCCGCACCCGCCGCCGUCAUGACUGAACAGAUGACCCUUCGUGGCACCCUCAAGGGCCACAACGGCUGGGUGACCCAGAUCGCUACCACUCCCCAGUUCCCGGACAUGAUACUGUCCGCCUCUCGAGACAAGACCAUCAUCAUGUGGAAGCUGACCAGAGAUGAGACCAACUACGGUAUCCCACAGCGUGCUCUUCGGGGUCACUCCCACUUUGUUAGUGACGUGGUCAUCUCCUCAGAUGGCCAGUUUGCCCUCUCAGGCUCCUGGGAUGGAACCCUUCGCCUCUGGGAUCUCACAACGCAAGUAGCUGCUCUGGGGCACUGGGGGAAAGCUGGGUAGAAAUGAGGUAGAUAAUAUCUGGAAGUGGUUUCCCAGGGGUGAUUGGGUUCAUUGUGGGAACUAUAAGGCAGAGAAUACCUGGAGAAGAUGGUUGUGGUUGCUUGGCCACCCUCCUUGUUUUUAAUGUUAUACAGAAUUGCUGAGGAGUGGUCUGGUUGAGCAGUUUUAUCAGAUAUUGCACUUGGGAGUAGGCAAAGUUUGACCGUGUUGUGUGCUGGUAGCUCAGUCUUUGGAUGGUCAGGCAUAACGGAGGAUCCUGGUGAUGAGAGGUGACAUUGUCAGCCAAUCCCCACAUGGGAGUGAGGACAUGUCCUGCAAUUCUGAAGGGAUUCUCUGGCAUAUUCUCGGCCAAGGGCCUGCUGUUAUCAAAGCCAUGUCCAGGGUUGUGUGAGUGAUGCCACUCCACUGGGAGAGGAACCAGGCCAGGGAAACAGUCUAACUGUGUAAGAAUGUUUGCAAAGUCGGUCUAGAGGGUAACCACGUCCUUCCUCUCAGGGGCACUACCACGCGCCGAUUUGUAGGCCAUACCAAGGAUGUGCUGAGUGUGGCCUUCUCUUCUGACAACCGACAGAUUGUCUCUGGCUCCCGAGAUAAAACCAUCAAGCUAUGGAAUACUCUGGGUGUAUGCAAAUAUACUGUCCAGGAUGAGAGCCACUCAGAGUGGGUGUCUUGCGUCCGCUUCUCGCCCAACAGCAGCAAUCCCAUUAUUGUCUCCUGUGGCUGGGACAAGCUGGUCAAGGUAUGGAACUUGGCAAACUGUAAGCUGAAGACCAAUCACAUUGGCCACACAGGCUACCUGAACACUGUGACCGUCUCUCCAGAUGGAUCCCUCUGUGCUUCUGGAGGCAAGGAUGGCCAGGCCAUGUUGUGGGACCUCAAUGAAGGCAAGCACCUUUACACGCUAGAUGGUGGGGACAUCAUCAAUGCCCUGUGCUUCAGUCCCAACCGCUACUGGCUCUGUGCUGCUACGGGCCCUAGCAUCAAGAUCUGGGACUUGGAGGGCAAAAUCAUUGUAGAUGAAUUGAAGCAAGAAGUUAUCAGUACCAGCAGCAAGGCAGAGCCGCCUCAGUGUACCUCUCUGGCCUGGUCUGCUGAUGGCCAGACUCUGUUUGCUGGCUACACAGACAACCUGGUGCGAGUGUGGCAGGUGACCAUUGGCACCCGCUAAAAACAUGGGAGAGCUUUAAAAAUUAAAAAAACUGGUUUUCU
RNA transcript from Balaenoptera musculus (blue whale), 1622 nucleotides. It is a transcript of the gene named receptor for activated C kinase 1, with no coding region annotated. NCBI's taxonomy places the organism in Eukaryota, Metazoa, Chordata, Mammalia, Artiodactyla, Balaenopteridae. The record is from RefSeq and is a predicted model, not a curated record. The transcript is spliced from 8 exons.